This 496-nucleotide ribosomal RNA is filed under the name Acremonium sp. CCF3791. RNAcentral's name for it is "eukaryotic LSU rRNA". It matches the Rfam family "Eukaryotic large subunit ribosomal RNA", at positions 86 to 594 of the family's 3401-position model. The record is from RNAcentral. Lineage: Eukaryota; Fungi; Ascomycota; Sordariomycetes; Hypocreales; Bionectriaceae.
ACGGCGAGUGAAGCGGCAACAGCUCAAAUUUGAAAUCUGGCCUCUGGCCCGAGUUGUAAUUUGUAGAGGAUGCUUUUGGUGAGGUGCCUUCCGAGUUCCCUGGAACGGGACGCCAUANAGGGUGAGAGCCCCGUCUGGUUGGACGCCGAUCCUCUGUAAAGCUCCUUCGACGAGUCGAGUAGUUUGGGAAUGCUGCUCUAAAUGGGAGGUAUAUGUCUUCUAAAGCUAAAUACCGGCCAGAGACCGAUAGCGCACAGUAGAGUGAUCGAAAGAUGAAAAAGCACUUUGAAAAGAGGGUUAAACAGUACGUGAAAUUGUUGAAAGGGAAGCGCUUGUGACCAGACUUGGGCUUGGUUAAUCAUCCAGCGUUCUUCGCUGGUGCACUUGGCCGGCCCAGGCCAGCAUCGGUUCGGUGCGGGGGAUAAAGGCUUCGGGAAUGUGGCUCCUCCGGGAGUGUUAUAGCCCGUCGUGCAAUACCCUGCGCUGGACCGAGGUU